This 1543-nucleotide ribosomal RNA is filed under the name metagenome. RNAcentral describes it as "bacterial LSU rRNA". It matches the Rfam family "Bacterial large subunit ribosomal RNA", at positions 587 to 2004 of the family's 2925-position model. The record is from RNAcentral.
UGUGGGGUGACGGCGUGCCUAUCGAAAAAUGAGUCUGCGAGUCAGUGGCGGGUGGCGAGCAUAAGCCGUGUGGCGUAUGCGUAGCGAAAGCGAGUCCGAAUAGGGCGUUUCUAGUCGCUUGUCCUGGACCCGAAGCGGGAUGAUCUAGCCCUGGGCAGGUUGAAGCGCGGGUAAGACCGCGUGGAGGACCGAACCCACCUGGGUUGAAAACCGGGGGGAUGACCUGGGGCUAGGGGUGAAAGGCCAAUCAAAUUCCGUGAUAGCUGGUUCUCUCCGAAAUGCAUUUAGGUGCAGCGUCGGUUGAUUGCGUCGCGGGGGUAGAGCUACCGGAUGCUUGCGGGCCCUUGUUGGGUACCAACAGCAGCCGAACUCCGAAUACCGUUGACGUGUAUUCCGGCAGUGAGUCGGCGGGGGAUAAGCUCCGUCGUCGAGAGGGAGACAGCCCAGACCGUCGUCUAAGGUCCCGAAGCGUGUGCUAAGUGGGAAAGGAUGUGGAGUCGCAUAGACAGCCAGGAGGUUGGCUCAGAAGCAGCCAUCCUUGAAAGAGUGCGUAACAGCUCACUGGUCUAGUGGUUCCGCGCCGACAAUGUAGCGGGGCUCAAGCACACCACCGAAGACGCGGCAGCAAUCUUCAUGGUUGCUGGGUAGGAGAGCGUCCUGCAUGGGGCGAAGCGGCGGUGGAAACCGGCCGUGGACCGUGUGGGAGUGAGAAUGCAGACAUGAGUAGCGAGAGACGGGUGAGGAUCCCGUCCGCUGGAUGACCAAGGGUUCCGGGGCCACGUUCGUCGUCCCCGGGUGAGUCGGGUCCUAAGGCGAGGCCGACAGGCGUAGUCGAAUGGAUGAACGGGUGGAUAUUCCCGUACCGACCAUGGACCGGCAAAACCGAGACGGUGAGUACUAACCUCCGCCUCGUGGUGGUUCCUUCCUUCGGGUUGGUAUCGCCGCGUGGUGUUGGGAGCGUAGCCGCAGUAGGUCAGCGCAGGGGUGACACGGAAUGGGAGCCGGCCGCGGAGGUGGUUUUCCGUGGUCAAGCACGCAGCCAGUCAUGUAGGCAAAUCCGCAUGGCGUGCAUGGCGAGGUGUGAUGAUGGGAGCCGUAUGGUUCGAUAUCCGGUUGUCCAGGCCGUCGAGAAAAGCCUCGGCGUGAGGGCCAUGGCCGCCCGUACCCCAAACCGACACUGGUGGUCAGGUAGAGAAUACCAAGGCGAUCGAGCGAAUCCUGGUCAAGGAACUCGGCAAAUCACUCCCGUGCCUUCGGUAUAAGGGAGACCCACUGGGGUGAACGGCCUCGCGCCGGGAGCUUUGGUGGGUGGCACAGACCAGGGGGUAGCGACUGUUUACCAAAAACACAGGUGCAUGCGAAGGCGAAAGCCGCUGUAUAUGCACUGACGCCUGCCCGGUGCCGGAAGGUUAAGAGGAUCCGUCAAUCCCUUCGGGGACGAAGCGGUGAAUUCAAGCCCCGGUAAACGGCGGUGGUAACUAUAACCAUCCUAAGGUAGCGAAAUUCCUUGUCGGGUAAGUUCCGACCUGCACGAAUGGCGUAA